Non-coding RNA from Equus caballus (horse), 1953 nucleotides. Lineage: Eukaryota; Metazoa; Chordata; Mammalia; Perissodactyla; Equidae. The record is from RefSeq and is a predicted model, not a curated record.
GUAAGCCUCAUAAAGGCUGGGAAAUGUGUCUGCUUUGUUGACCAAGGUAUGCCCAAUGCUGGCCAAAAUAAACAUGUUUAAUGAAUCUCUGUGGAAUAUAGGAGUGAAUAUAGAGGAGAAGGAGCUUAUUCAGGGUGGAUUUUCGCUCACCCUAAAGAAGUGAAAUGAAAGCAAACUUUGGUGGUUUUUGUUUAACUGUGAGCAAAUUGGUAUGGACUGAGAAAUUCAAUUAACUGUAUUCAUCAAUUUUUGUCUCUGGGGUACAGUCAUGAGAGUAAGACCCAGAAUUCUUGGUCCCACCCCUUUUGUGGCAUUAAAAAAAAAGCCUUGGCAUAUUACACCAACCAGAUUUUUUUCUUUGUCUCAAAGAAGGCUCAGCUGAACGUUACAUUCCUCCCCCCCAUACAACAAUCAAAAACUCAGAAAACCUCAGCUGCCUCAGAUGAUGUCACAAAACCCUUAAGAAUGCUCACUGCUGAGUUGGGCACAGGUCCAGCAAACACAAUUCUUUCUGCCAGUUAUUCAGGGUCUUUGACAGAUUAGGUGGUCUUUUUUCUUCUUCUUCUUCUUUUUUUCAUCCUCUUAAAAGGCAGUUCAGUUUACCUCUAAGCAAGACAUUAGCUCUGGCUGCCCCAAAUAACAUUUUAAUUGAAGUCUCAGUCCAAACAAAUGCCUGGCCUCUUUAUUAACCCCAACAGUGUAAUUUUUCAACCUAAGACUGAUUCAGGGGGAAACUGUCUCACUUAAACUGCCAUGCAACGGAACAUGGCAGUUUUCCUCAAUCAGUCUCUUUUCUGACCUUAAUUUGAACCUUAAUCUCUUUUAACCAUGUUCUCUUUAUUAGCUGCUCAUAGCCGUGGCACAAUGCUAAUUUUCCUGUUUUUAGACGAUCAGUUUACAGAGGUAUUUCACUCCCCCUCGUGCCCCCAACUGUAACCAAGAUUUCAUGGACCUUUUUGGGAAAGGAAAGGGCAGAAGAGCUCCUUGGCACUGGAACCCUCCUGGUCUGGUGAGGGAGGAAUGAGGAUACACAGGCGCCAUCCAAAACUUCCUAUGUUCAGAUUGAGGAAAGAGGUUGGGCCAGGCCUUUGGAUUCUCAUUACCUAAGGACGGUUCUGACUGUGAGAGCAAAUCACAGAAGGACAACCUUGAUGUCACCUGUAUAUAGAAGAUGUAGAGCCAUUAUCUGGAAAGAAUCUGGAUUCCUGAUUCACUGCUUGGAGGAGAGCAGCCUGGGACAGCUGCCCAACCAGGAAUAGUCACAUUACACUUUUUGUGUAACAUAUAAGAAAUAAACUUUCAUAUGUUAAGCCACUGAGCUUUUGAGGAUUGUUUAUUUUAUCAACAAGCAUUACUUACCUUGACUAAAACAGAAAUUGGUACCAGAAGGGAGUUCUAGAAGCAAUUGCUUUUUCUUUUUAUCUGUGCUUAAAAACCAGUUAAUUAUUUCCUGAUAUCCUCUUAUUCUCCUGUUAUGUUGUCAAAAGCAGCCAAUAACAACCAACACGUGCUAUUUUUCAUGUAAAAGCUCAAGAGUCACGUGGUCUAACUUUGAAGUUACCAAAGGCAACAGUUUUGCCAAGUGUUUUUCCACUGUGUGAUAUGGAUCUCCAGCCAUCCCUCCUAAUAUAUCUGCUUCUAGCAACUUGACCACAAAGUCAGUGCCACAUAUUUUAGGGUUUUGUUACAGGACACCACAUCUGGUACCAAAUAUAACAAUCAAAUUUAGUCAGAAAAAUAGAAGCCUCUUGUGGCAGAUAGAAUGUAAUGUGUUCACCAAACCAUUUCUUCUUCCUGGGCACAGGAGAAGAUCGUAAUCCCCUCCCCUUUGCAAUUUAAUUGGGGCCGUAGGACCAAUUCUUUGUAACGGAAUGUAAACAGAAGUGCUGUGCCACCUUUGGUCCAGGAGGUUAAGAGUGCCAAUAUGCUUUCUCUAUGUUCUUUCCUCCUCUU